AUGCAUGUUUUCGUCUGCCCCAGUCGGACGAUCGCCCGCUCCUCGCCCGUCCGAUCAGUCCCGCGCGCCCGCACUCCUCAUCGCCCGUCCAACAGCUCCCGCCCGGCAAUCACGCUCCGCCCUUCCCCACCACGCCCGUCGCGCCUCCUCAUCGCACGUCCAACAGAUCCCGCCCCGCAAUCCAUCCGCCCGCAUCACACGUUCGCUCCCAAACCCUAGCACCAGAUCUCCUACUCCUCCGUCUGCUGCCACAUCCCCCUCCGAUCCCCUCUCCUCCUCCACCAGAUCCUCUACCGCGCCGCCGCUCCUUCACCAACCACCGUGCUAUCGUCCCGGUUCCCCUGCCAUCGCGCCGCCGUCUCAGUUCCCUGACCUCCGCAUCGCCGUCUCGGUUCCCCGGCCAUCGCGCCGCCGCUCCGGACGUCCUCAACCGUGACGCCACCCCGUGCGCCUGUGCACCGCUCCGGUCAUCCACAACCGCGCCGCCGCCUCGGUAUGCUAUGAGGUUGGAGGACAAAAACUGGAAAACCCGACAAAACCGCCCAUCGUUAAGGGGGCCGGGGCAGUCCAGAGCGCCAUUUUCUGGGGGGGGGGGUCUCGCCCCGCCGCCUGGGCGGGAUUCUCGCUGGAUCCGCCACCGGCUCGUCCCUCUCCCCCCCUCGACGACCCCUCGCUGCCUCGUGGAGGGAUGGAGGGAGGUGGGGAAGAUCGGGAGAAGGGGGGCCGCCGCCGCCAGCUGUACCCCAGAUCCGGAGGAGGAGGAUGAGCUCGCGUGGCUCCGAUCACCACGAUGUCCCCAUCCCUGAGGUUGCGUCGCCGGAGAGCCGUCCACCGUCGGAGAGCCGGAUGCAAAGAAGAACAAACAGUGCCGAUCUGUUCCUUCCCUUUCCCUGUGAAACCCCGUCGAUUCCGUUCUUUCCCACACGAAACCCCCAAAUCUCCUAUCGUUGCACUGCACCGAAUCGCACCAUCCGCGGAAUUCGAUCCCGAAUCGGCCCCAACCUGUGCUUCAAUCGAUCCGUGCCCGUGGUGAUCCGCCGUCUCGCCCCCGUCUUCUUCCAUCCACAACAGGCCCGGAGAAGGUGCCCGCUGCUUCCACCAUACACUACAAAGAGCUUAUUUUGAUCUCUCUGAUCUUCAUCUGGGAGGAGGCGAGAUGGGUGGAAUUCUGGUGAUCCUGAACGGCAACUACUACCACAGAACUGAGCACCUCAUCAUCAAGGAGUUCACGCCGAAUCAUACCCACACUAGGCUUCUGUUCCAAUGUGAGUUGCUCUCAUCUCCUGCAAUUUAUCUAUGUCUCUUUAUUUAUCCGUAUCAUUUCAUGAUUUUCCAAUGUAUGAAACUUGGAAAUGUAAAUAGAUGGCGUUAAACCGUGGGUUGUGGUGACUGUGAGUAAGUGACAAAUUUGGCUAACGACAUACCAAUCAGUAUGCUCUGAACAAAGCUUGUAGACUUUUAAAAUUCCAGUACCACAGUGGUUGUAAGAAGCUGUAAGAGUUAAUAUUAGAGUCAAGCAAAAGCUUUAGAGUUCCUUUCUUAAUUUGUUAGUAAGGGUUGCUACUCUUUUAUCUAAUCUGUUGACUUGCUAUCCAUGGUACUGCUGAUAUUUCUUUCCUUUGAAUGCAUAUGCAGAGCUCCUGCCACUUUUUUUUAAAAAAAAAUUAUUGACUUCAUGCCAGAAAGUACCAGGGUUAGAUGAAUCUGAUGAAAGCAGGUCUGGUUGAAUCUGACCUCUGAGAUUAAUCUUGUUGAUUUCGGAAAAGGUUUUCACUGUCUCCCAAGUAUGUUAGUUGAGCGAUCAAAUUGGACUAUUUAUCGAAAGCGACUGCAAAUCUAUGGCUUGAUUUAUUUAUUGGGAUGAAAAUGAAGAAUUCAGUGUGCUCUGAACAACAAAUUUUGGACAACACACAAGUGGUUUUGUUGUUUGUUCUGCAACUAUGAAAUUUACAAUACUCUGUUCAACUUCUUCACUAGAGCAGAGUCCACUAUUUCUUCCAUUUACUCUCUUAUUUUCAAACUGGGAACUUUACAGUUCUGUUGUAUCUCUUGGUACAAAACCUUGCAGGUUUUGGUUAACCAUGGAGUAAGUAAGGUGGUAGCAUCCGAGCACCCGAAUUUCAAGGUCAGUGAUCUUGUGUGGGGAAUAACUGGAUGGGAGGAGUACAUACUCAUCCCUAAUUCAGAGUCUCUCUUCAAGAUCAAUCAUCCUGAAAUGCUUAUGUCGUACUACAUAGGUGUUCUUGGCAUGCCUGGUCUUACUGCAUACACUGGAUUUUUCGAUGUGUCCAAGCCUAAGAAAGGCGAUUAUGUUUUCGUCUCAGUGGCAUCAGUGUGUUCAUUGGUUUUGAAAGAUAGUGCUCAUCUGCUAUGCACUACAUGAAUUGCACGCAGAAGCAAAGGUUGCCUAAAGAAAUCAAGGCAAGCAGAGGCCUUAAAGCUUGGUUUGAACACACUAUUUGUUGUGGAAGUUCUUCGCUGGAUGGUCGUCAAUGGUCGAAGCUGCCCUUCUGUCCCAUAGGGAAUAGUAUGCAAAGGCACAAGACUUUUUGUGAUGAAUAAAUAGAAAAUGCACAAUCUAAUUUCCAAUUAUUAACCCUUCCGUCCCAUAGGAAAUCGUAUGCAAAGGCACGAGCCUUUUUGUGAUGAAUAAAUAGAAAAUGCACAAACUAAUUUCAAAUUAUUAACAAUCGACAUCCAUGUUGUGAGCAGCCAUGAAAAUUGUAUAAGUGGUUUUAUCAUCC
Molecule: long non-coding RNA, 2744 nt
Organism: Phragmites australis (common reed)
Lineage: Eukaryota; Viridiplantae; Streptophyta; Magnoliopsida; Poales; Poaceae
Exons: 6
Source: RefSeq, a predicted model, not a curated record